RNAcentral lists this ribosomal RNA (402 nucleotides) under uncultured bacterium. Its description in RNAcentral is "bacterial SSU rRNA". It matches the Rfam family "Bacterial small subunit ribosomal RNA", at positions 338 to 757 of the family's 1533-position model. The record is from RNAcentral.
CCUACGGGGGGCAGCAGCGAGGAAUCUUCCACAAUGGGCGCAAGCCCGAUGGAGCAACGCCGCGUGGAGGACGACGGCCUUCGGGUUGUAAACUCCUUUCGGGGGGGAUGAGACGGACAGUACCCCCAGAAGCAGCCCCGGCUAACUCAGUGCCAGCAGCCGCGGUAAGACAGAGGGGGCAAGCGUUGUCCGGAUUGACUGGGCGUACAGCGCGCGCAGGCGGUCCUGGACGUGCCCUGUGACAGGCGGAGGCUCAACCUCCGACGGCCAGGGUAGACGCCAGGACUAGAGGCAGGGAGAGGGCAGUGGAAUACCCGGUGGAGCGGUGAAAUGCGUAGAGAUCGGGUGGAACACCAGGGGCGAAGGCGGCUGCCUGGCCCUGACCUGACGCUGAGGCGCGAG